AAAGAAUAAUACUUUUAUGGUUCGAUUUAUUGAUUAAAAGGGAAGUGAGGUAUUAAUCCUCUGCGGUCCCGCCACUGUGAAGCUGACGAAAGCGACGUUACCACUGGAUUUUCCGGGAAGGGUUGUGAUUAGGUUGAAGUUAAGCCAGGAGACCUGCCAUGAAAAGAUUUAUGCU
This 175-nucleotide non-coding RNA is filed under the name Ilyobacter polytropus. The record is from RNAcentral. Lineage: Bacteria; Fusobacteriati; Fusobacteriota; Fusobacteriia; Fusobacteriales; Fusobacteriaceae. RNAcentral also lists the same sequence under 1 other name.